CAAACCAUAUGACAGCAAUUUGCAAGGAUAUGUUGCCUUCGCUCCUGAAAAUUCUGUUCUUGGAUUGAGUUCUUUGUGAAGCUGUAGCUAGCAUUUUCUCUCGGUGAAAUGGAUCCACCUGGGCCUGGAGGACCGGGAGGAGGCCCUGGCGGUUGGGGCCCUCCUGGAGGUGGCCCUGGGGGAUGGGGCCCUCCUGGAGGUGGCCCUGGAGGAUGGGCCCCACUACCUCCUGCUGGACCUGGCUUUCUGGGUGGCCCAGGCCCUGGCCCUGGUUACUGGGGGCCUGGAUUUGGAGGUUUCAUGGGGUCCUGUUUUUAUGUCCUCUGCUGCUGCUGCUUGCUCCAGGAUUGUUGUGGGCCAUUGCUGGGGCGUCCAGGCCCGGGUGGCCCAUCGUCACCCUUCUGAUACCACCCUGACCUUACCCACCUAGUGAAAUAAUGCGAUGUGUUUACCAUUACACAUGGGACCAAAAUCGUUACACAUCCUCUGAUGAAGAACAAGUACCUGAUAGCAGCUUGCAGAGUCUUAUAUAUGCUCUUUACUUUGUCACUUAUCUCUAGGGGUGUUAUGCAUAAUCCUACUUGUUUGCAUUUGUUAGCAACUCGACGAUAUAAUGAUGGUUCUGCUUUGGUACCUCGUUGAUGCCUUACAAAUGUCAAAUCAAAUACAACCUGACAGUUUUCAAACUGACACCAGCCCAGGUGAAAAGGAAAACAACGAAGAAAACUGCACCGAUUCUAAGAAAGAACCGAAUCCAACACACUAUAAAAACCCCAGUGAGGGGAGAGAAAAGAAAUCCCGGGUUAGUCUACUGAGCCAGCAGCAUCUCUUGGACGGUUCUGUACAGAUGUAAAAGCUGUUCUAUGCACGCAGGCAAUUGGUACCUUUGUUAUAUGCAAAA
Long non-coding RNA from Oryza sativa Japonica Group (Japanese rice), 901 nucleotides. RefSeq lists it as uncharacterized. The record is from RefSeq and is a predicted model, not a curated record. Lineage: Eukaryota; Viridiplantae; Streptophyta; Magnoliopsida; Poales; Poaceae.